This 443-nucleotide ribosomal RNA is filed under the name uncultured bacterium. RNAcentral's name for it is "partial 16S ribosomal RNA". It matches the Rfam family "Bacterial small subunit ribosomal RNA", at positions 338 to 795 of the family's 1533-position model. The record is from RNAcentral.
CCUACGGGUGGCAGCAGUGGGGAAUAUUGGGCAAUGGAGGAAAGUCUGACCCAGCAACGCCGCGUGAAUGAGGAAGGUAUUCGGUUUGGAAAGUUCUUUUUGUAGGGAAGAAGAAAGUGACGGUACCUUAGGAAUAAGCCUCGGCGAAGUACGUGCCAGCGGCCGCGGUAAUACGUAGGAGGCGAGCGUUAUGAGGAUUGACUGGGUGUAAAGGGUGCGUAGGUGGUUUGGCAAGUUAGUAGGGCAACUCAGGGGCUCAACCUAGGAACUGCUGCUGAAACUGUUAGACUUGAGUGCUGGAGAGGCAACCGGAAUGCCCGGUGUAGCGGUGAAAUGCGUAGAUAUUGGGAGGAACACCAGUGGCGAAGGCGGGUUGCUGGCCUGUCACUGACGCUGAGGCACGAAAGCGUGGGGAGCAAACAGGAUUAGAUACCCGGGUAGUC